GGCAAGCUGUGGGAAAUUCAGGCACCAGUAACAGCACAGAUCUGGGAAACAUUCACGAAUUAACCAGCUGAGGGAGCACAAGGCAUCGGUUUUUCAGUAACAGCAUAAUGGACUUGAGGGACUUGGAGAAGAAACAGCAUGGUUGACCAGAAUUACUGUAUUCCUGCCAGAUUCAGUUUGUGUCUGCUGCUCCUCAUUCAGCAUUUGAUUUCCUGAAGACACCAUGGCAAAGUCACUGUAUGAAAUAGGAAAUUUAGAACAGAGACAAAAAUGGCUUUUCAUGAACAUUGAGUUGAAGCUGGCCAGUGGGUUCAAAAGUGGUUGGGUAUGGUGGGGAGAGCCAGAUGGACAUCACAGCUGCAGGAGUCUCAUCCCUUCCAAAAUCAGGAUAAAAAUGGAGUUGCUACACUCCCCUGGGACUUACAUAAAUCAGAUUUAUGGUUCCUCAUGCUGCUACCAUGAACCUAUACCAGGAAAUGCUCAGACACACAGUCCAAAGGUUAAGUGCAUUUUUUAGUAUAUGUAUAUUUAUAUAUUUAGUAUAUGUAUAUUUAUUUAUUUAGUAUACUUUUGUAAAUGGUGUUUUUAAGGAAACAUUAAAUCUUACAGCGUGCACAAACAUUUUACCAAACUUUUCAUUCUGCUUUAUUUAUAUGCUGCAACAGUUAUAUUCCAUGUUUUGAAUGACAGUUCUUCAAACCAUUUCUUUUUGUACUGUAAGUGCAUUUAUGAAAAGACAGGGUAUAUUUUUGCUCACUUAAAUGUACCAGGAGCAUCAAGGGGUAAUUUUUCAGACACUUAGUAUUUUGUUGCUUCUACAGAUGCAAUUAAUUACAAAAAUCUUUUCAAACACUGAAAUUCUAGUUCAGUUGCAUUACGAAAAUGUAUGGUGAG
Molecule: long non-coding RNA, 894 nt
Filed under: Zonotrichia albicollis (white-throated sparrow)
Lineage: Eukaryota; Metazoa; Chordata; Aves; Passeriformes; Passerellidae
Description: lncRNA (ENSZALG00000011321.1)
Source: RNAcentral